This 253-nucleotide ribosomal RNA is filed under the name uncultured bacterium. Its description in RNAcentral is "partial 16S ribosomal RNA". It matches the Rfam family "Bacterial small subunit ribosomal RNA", at positions 527 to 779 of the family's 1533-position model. The record is from RNAcentral.
CGGAGGUGCAAGCGUUGUCCGGAUUUAUUGGGUUUAAAGGGUGCGCAGGUGGGUAUUUAAGUCUGGUUUGAAAGCAGGUGGCUCAACCAUCUGAUGUGGCUGGAAACUGGAUAUCUUGAAUGGGUUGGCGGUAGCCGGAAUGGGUCAUGUAGCGGUGAAAUGCAUAGAUAUGACCCGGAACACCGAUUGCGAAGGCAGGCUACUACGACUUGAUUGACACUGAGGCACGAGAGCAUGGGUAGCGAACAGGAUU